CGCCCUAGUUGCUUUUAUUUAUUUUAUUAAAUAUAGAGUCUAUUUAUUUGAUUUAUUGUAUUUAUGUGAUGUAUUUUUAAUUGAAUGGCUUUAUUUUUUUUAAUUAAUUGUAAGGAGAAGAGUAGUAAAGGGAAUAAGUAGAGUUAAGGGGUUGGAAUUGGAGUUAGAUGGAAAUAAUAGUAUUAAGUGGAAUUAUUAGGAAUUAAAUAAGGAAGUGGGAGGUUAAGAAAUAGAAGUCACAAAAGAGAAAAACUCUUUCACGUAAAAACAAAAAAAAAAGGGUUUUGGAGAAAAGGGAGAAGCACCAAGAGAGAAGAGGCUUAGAGAAUCAAGAGCAGCUGUAGGAUUGUUCGUUCAUCAAACCUAAGAUAUUCAAGACUAGCUGAAGUUGUGAGUCGACUCCCUCAUGGUCUUAUGAUGCUCUGAUACGUAACGGGGCGGGUUUUAAUGUUGGAUUGUCCUUGUUACGUAUUUUUCCUUGAGAUUUUAUGUUGAAACCAUUUAGUUGGAUUUUUGUAUUAAUGUUGAACACGUUGAGGCCUUAGAGCCAUAUUUUGGUUGAAAAGAUUUAUGAACACUAUUUCCGCUGCGAGGAUAUUAAAAAUGUUAUCAGAUGAUGUUUGAUUCAUUAAUAGAAAAUUUUACUCUAUUAUUUAAGUA
Trifolium pratense (red clover) is the source of this 660-nucleotide long non-coding RNA. RefSeq lists it as uncharacterized. Lineage: Eukaryota; Viridiplantae; Streptophyta; Magnoliopsida; Fabales; Fabaceae. The record is from RefSeq and is a predicted model, not a curated record. The transcript has 2 exons.